AUUGAACGCUGGCGGCAUGCUUUACACAUGCAAGUCGAACGGUAACAGGCCGCAAGGUGCUGACGAGUGGCGAACGGGUGAGUAAUGCAUCGGAACGUGCCCAGUCGUGGGGGAUAACGCAGCGAAAGCUGCGCUAAUACCGCAUACGAUCUAUGGAUGAAAGCGGGGGACCGUAAGGCCUCGCGCGAUUGGAGCGGCCGAUGUCAGAUUAGGUAGUUGGUGGGGUAAAGGCUCACCAAGCCAACGAUCUGUAGCUGGUCUGAGAGGACGACCAGCCACACUGGGACGGAGACACGGCCCAGAAUCCUACGGGAGGCAGCAGUGGGGAAUUUUGGACAAUGGGCGCAAGCCUGAUCCAGCAAUGCCGCGUGCAGGAAGAAGGCCUUCGGGUUGUAAACUGCUUUUGUACGGAACGAAACGGUCCUGGUUAAUACCUGGGGCUAAUGACGGUACCGUAAGAAUAAGCACCGGCUAACUACGUGCCAGCCGCCGCAGUAA
This 498-nucleotide ribosomal RNA is filed under the name uncultured bacterium. RNAcentral's name for it is "partial 16S ribosomal RNA". It matches the Rfam family "Bacterial small subunit ribosomal RNA", at positions 29 to 523 of the family's 1533-position model. The record is from RNAcentral.